Hyla sarda is the source of this 135-nucleotide small nucleolar RNA. RefSeq annotates it as small nucleolar RNA SNORA84. Lineage: Eukaryota; Metazoa; Chordata; Amphibia; Anura; Hylidae. The record is from RefSeq and is a predicted model, not a curated record. The transcript has a single exon.
GCCCUGUGGUUACUGGAGCCUGAGUCUUGUUCAGUGCUGCAGUUAUAUAAAGGGCCUAUAUUAACACUGUAAUUUUUGCAUGGCAGCUGAGUGUUUUUUUUUUUUAGCUGCCAUAGCCCGAUUGCAGUGACAGAU